UACGAAGGGGGCUAGCGUUGCUCGGAAUCACUGGGCGUAAAGGGUGCGUAGGCGGGUCUUUUAGUCAGGGGUGAAAUCCUGGAGCUCAACUCCAGAACUGCCUUUGAUACUGAGGAUCUUGAGUUCGGGAGAGGUGAGUGGAACUGCGAGUGUAGAGGUGAAAUUCGUAGAUAUUCGCAAGAACACCAGUGGCGAAGGCGGCUCACUGGCCCGAUACUGACGCUGAGGCACGAAAGCGUGGGGAGCAAACGGG
RNAcentral lists this ribosomal RNA (253 nucleotides) under uncultured bacterium. RNAcentral describes it as "partial 16S ribosomal RNA". It matches the Rfam family "Bacterial small subunit ribosomal RNA", at positions 524 to 776 of the family's 1533-position model. The record is from RNAcentral.